RNAcentral lists this ribosomal RNA (468 nucleotides) under uncultured bacterium. RNAcentral's name for it is "partial 16S ribosomal RNA". It matches the Rfam family "Bacterial small subunit ribosomal RNA", at positions 28 to 507 of the family's 1533-position model. The record is from RNAcentral.
GACGAACGCUGGCGGCGUGCUUAACACAUGCAAGUCGAACGGAAAGGCCCUGCUUUUGUGGGGUGCUCGAGUGGCGAACGGGUGAGUAACACGUGAGUAACCUGCCCUUGACUUUGGGAUAACUUCAGGAAACUGGGGCUAAUACCGGAUAGGAGCUCCUGCUGCAUGGUGGGGGUUGGAAAGUUUCGGCGGUUGGGGAUGGACUCGCGGCUUAUCAGCUUGUUGGUGGGGUAGUGGCUUACCAAGGCUUUGACGGGUAGCCGGCCUGAGAGGGUGACCGGCCACAUUGGGGCUGAGAUACGGCCCAGACUCCUACGGGAGGCAGCAGUGGGGAAUAUUGCACAAUGGGCGGAAGCCUGAUGCAGCAACGCCGCGUGCGGGAUGACGGCCUUCGGGUUGUAAACCGCUUUCGCCUGUGGCGAAGCGUGAGUGGCGGUAAUGGGUAAAGAAGCACCGGCUAACUACGUG